CCAAUCUAUAGCGUCCACACAGAGAACUUCGGGCAGCACCGGGACCCUCCGGGCACUAUCUGCUCAGGGGCCUGCUUGGCUGCGCGUGCAGCCGGGAGGAAGGAGGGAGUGGCCAGGGCGGGAGCGCGGGAGAGAGGCGGGGUCUGCGAGGGGCUGAGGCAGUGGGUGGGGCCAGGCGGAAAAAUGUCACCUUAAACUGCAUUUCCGGUCCUCACUGGAGGCCUGAGCUCCGCGGCACCAGCACGGCUGCCCGUAGCCCUGCACUGGUGGGGCUAGCCCCCGGAGCAGAGUUGGCGACCUUGCUACGACCUUGCUACGAGGGACGCGCCCAGCCUGGCAAGAGCCACUGCACAAUCCUGAGGCGACGGGAGGAAGUCGGCUGGGGGCGAGGCCGGCGAGACCCAGACCUCGGGUUUGAGCAGCAGCCUGCAAGAGACUUUGCGCCUUCUGGGUUCAGUAGUAGAGUUUCCAUACUUCCACUUCCUAAUCUGCAACAACAAAAAAAGGAUCAGCCAAGAACCUAUCAUUCCAAUUUCAUUCAGUCCUGGGUUGUGAUACCCAUGAUAAGAAUCUAUCAGGGCCAAGAUCCGUUUUCCCAGAUGUGAGAAUUGACCAUCCCAGUAACCAAGGUAAGUGUGGAAAGCAAGUUUUAUUUAAAAUAUAGAACAGAGAUA
Molecule: long non-coding RNA, 674 nt
Filed under: Ictidomys tridecemlineatus (thirteen-lined ground squirrel)
Lineage: Eukaryota; Metazoa; Chordata; Mammalia; Rodentia; Sciuridae
Description: lncRNA (ENSSTOG00000034132.1)
Source: RNAcentral